AGUUUGAUCCUGGCUCAGGAUGAACGCUAGCUACAGGCUUAACACAUGCAAGUCGAGGGGCAGCAUUGGAGUAGCAAUACUUCAGAUGGCGACCGGCGCACGGGUGAGUAACACGUAUCCAACCUGCCGCUUACUCGGGGAUAGCCUUUCGAAAGAAAGAUUAAUACCCGAUGGUAUAAAGAGUUCGCAUGUUCUCUUUAUUAAAGAAUUUCGGUAAGCGAUGGGGAUGCGUUCCAUUAGAUAGUUGGCGGGGUAACGGCCCACCAAGUCUACGAUGGAUAGGGGUUCUGAGAGGAAGGUCCCCCACAUUGGAACUGAGACACGGUCCAAAUCCUACGGGAGGCAGCAGUGAGGAAUAUUGGUCAAUGGACGAGAGUCUGAACCAGCCAAGUAGCGUGAAGGAUGACUGCCCUAUGGGUUGUAAACUUCUUUUAUAAGGGAAUAAAGUGAGGGACGUGUCCCUUUUUGUAUGUACCCUAUGAAUAAGGAUCGGCUAACUCCGUGCCAGCAGCCGCGGUAAUACGGAGGAUCCAAGCGUUAUCCGGAUUUAUUGGGUUUAAAGGGAGCGUAGGUUGACAUAUAAGUCAGCUGUGAAAGUUUACGGCUCAACCGUGAAAUUGCAGUUGAUACUGUAUGUCUUGAGUGUACAAGAGGUGGGCGGAAUUCGUGGUGUAGCGGUGAAAUGCUUAGAUAUCACGAAGAACUCCAAUUGCGAAGGCAGCUCACUGGGGUACAACUGACACUGAGGCUCGAAAGUGUGGGUAUCAAACAGGAUUAGAUACCCUGGUAGUCCACACAGUAAACGAUGAAUACUCGCUGUUUGCGAUAUACAGUAAGCGGCCAAGCGAAAGCAUUAAGUAUUCCACCUGGGGAGUACGCCGGCAACGGUGAAACUCAAAGGAAUUGACGGGGGCCCGCACAAGCGGAGGAACAUGUGGUUUAAUUCGAUGAUACGCGAGGAACCUUACCCGGGCUUGAAUUGCAGAGGAACAUAGUUGAAAGAUUAUGGCCGCAAGGUCUCUGUGAAGGUGCUGCAUGGUUGUCGUCAGCUCGUGCCGUGAGGUGUCGGCUUAAGUGCCAUAACGAGCGCAACCCUUAUCAUUAGUUACUAACAGGUCAUGCUGAGGACUCUAGUGAGACUGCCGUCGUAAGAUGUGAGGAAGGUGGA
RNAcentral lists this ribosomal RNA (1168 nucleotides) under uncultured Bacteroides sp. Its description in RNAcentral is "bacterial SSU rRNA". It matches the Rfam family "Bacterial small subunit ribosomal RNA", at positions 10 to 1177 of the family's 1533-position model. The record is from RNAcentral. Lineage: Bacteria; Pseudomonadati; Bacteroidota; Bacteroidia; Bacteroidales; Bacteroidaceae.